RNAcentral lists this long non-coding RNA (532 nucleotides) under Carica papaya (papaya). RNAcentral's name for it is "long non-coding RNA (CPAP_LNC011251)". The record is from RNAcentral. Lineage: Eukaryota; Viridiplantae; Streptophyta; Magnoliopsida; Brassicales; Caricaceae.
UCCUAAGGAAUUUUAACUGAAGUUAAAAUAAUAUGUUCUAAACUCCACCAAAAUAUAAUGGGAUUUCAAAUGUGUUAUUUCAGUUCCUCUUAAUAGUAUCUUGUAUUAUUUCAGAUAGAGUUUUUACUAUUUUCUAGUUAAACUAGGCCUAGAUUUUAAAUUGGAUUAAUAGUUACAAAUUUCUUCAUUUCUUCCAGAAAUAGUUAAAAAAAACUUUAAGCAUCAUACUGAAAUGACAUGAUAUCAAUAGUUAAUAAAACGCAAAAACUCCAUCUCUCUCUCUGCAAAAUGUCAACAGAGAACAACAAUCAAAUUCCACAGGAUAACAUUUAAAGAUUUUUUUUCUCCUUUUGGAUGAGAAGAAAGAAAAAAAGAGAGAUAAAUCCCUCAUUUUCAUCCAAAAUUAAAGUUUAAACAGAAACUAGUAUAUAAAAAUGCUGCAUAAAUUCUCCAAAACCCAACUUUCACUCUCAAAUUGAAUCAAAAUUAAACGCUAUUGAUCCAAGUAGUUAAGUAUUCGGCACAAACAAAA